RNAcentral lists this ribosomal RNA (326 nucleotides) under uncultured bacterium. RNAcentral's name for it is "bacterial SSU rRNA". It matches the Rfam family "Bacterial small subunit ribosomal RNA", at positions 28 to 334 of the family's 1533-position model. The record is from RNAcentral.
GAUGAACGCUGGCGGCGUGCCUAACACAUGCAAGUCGAACGAAGCGCCUGGCCCCGACUUCUUCGGAACGAGGAGCCUUGCGACUGAGUGGCGGACGGGUGAGUAACGCGUGGGCAACCUGCCUUGCACUGGGGGAUAACAGCCAGAAAUGGCUGCUAAUACCGCAUAAGACCGAAGCGCCGCAUGGCGCGGCGGCCAAAGCCCCGGCGGUGCAAGAUGGGCCCGCGUCUGAUUAGGUAGUUGGCGGGGUAACGGCCCACCAAGCCGACGAUCAGUAGCCGACCUGAGAGGGUGACCGGCCACAUUGGGACUGAGACACGGCCCAG